ACAACUAUUGCGAAGAAACCU
RNAcentral lists this unclassified non-coding RNA (21 nucleotides) under Dictyostelium discoideum. The record is from RNAcentral. Lineage: Eukaryota; Evosea; Eumycetozoa; Dictyosteliales; Dictyosteliaceae.